RNAcentral lists this ribosomal RNA (1563 nucleotides) under sediment metagenome. RNAcentral's name for it is "bacterial LSU rRNA". It matches the Rfam family "Archaeal large subunit ribosomal RNA", at positions 1763 to 2987 of the family's 2987-position model. The record is from RNAcentral.
GCCAGAUACAGGCUAGAUUGUUGGAUUUGUCGACGGUGAAGGUUGUUUUCACGUGGCUCUGAACAAGCUCGAGAAUAUGACCCUCGGUUGGCAGGUGCUUCCGGAAUUCCGAGUUGUUCAACAUCAGCGUGAUGAAGUCGUUCUUCACCAGAUUCGAAGUUUUUUCGGAUUUGGCAAGGUGACAAAAAAUCACGGUGACAGGAAAGAGUUUCGAGUCAGGGGUUCAAAAAACCUCAAUCAGCUCGUUGCGUUUUUCAGAUGCAACAAGCUGAGAACGCCAUCAAAGCAGGUGGCUUUUGAGACUUUCUCCAAAAUAGUUGAAAUAAUGGAUAAAGGAAAUCAUCUGACCACAGAAGGAUUGCAUGAAAUUGCAGUUCUUGCAUCGAAGAUGAACUGACAGCCAAAGCUCAAGUAUCUGGAAUCCUCAGAGACUAAACGCCGAACCGACAAGUAAGUUGGAAGAUAUAGUCCGACCCUUGCAGCGAUGUAAGGAGGUUUCCUAAAAAAUCCGUUGGAUUUUUUUGGACGCCGGAAAAUAAAGUUUUCCGAGCGCGCAGAAAUGCGGGCCCGCCAUCGAAAGAUGGUCAGUACCUGUCUGACAGGGAAGCAACAGAUGUGAGCGUAAUACCUUGUCGAUUGAAUGUCGACUUGCAUGAAUGGCGUAACGAGAUUGCCGCUGUCCCCAACUAGAAUCCUCCGAAAACUCUUUACUGGUGCAAAGGCCAGUGAGUUCCAGUGGGAAGCGAAGACCCCGUGAAACUUUACUGUAGCUUGUUGUUGUGACGUGAGCUCUGCUGUGUAGCGUAGGUGGUAGUUGCUAAAGCGUGUUCGUCAGGAUACGUGUAGACAUCCAUGAAACACCACUCUGUAGAAUUUACGCCACUCACUCCUUGUGAGGACAUCAUCAGGUGGACAGUUUGGCUGGGGUGGCACUCCGUUGAAAAAGUAUCAACGGAGCCCAAAGAUCGGCUCAACCCGGUUGGAAAUCGGGUGUGGAGUGCAAAGGCAAAAGCCGGUCUGAUUGGAUUUCCACCAGCACGAAAUUCAAACGCGAAAGCGUGGCUUAGCGAACCUCAAUACCUCCUUGAUGGGGGUUUGAGAUGACGGAAAAGUUACUCCGGGGAUAACAGAGUUGUCGCGCUCGAGAGCUCAAAUCGACGGCGCGGCUUGCUACAUCGAUGUCGGCUCUUCCUAUCCUGGCUGUGCAGAAGCAGCCAAGGGUGGGGGUGUUCACCCAUUAAAAGGGAUCGUGAGCUGGGUUCAGUACGCUGUGAGGCAGUAUGUUUGAUAUCUACUGGAACUGUUAUGUAUCUGAAAGGAAGGAUCCCCUAGUACGAGAGGAACGGGGGUUCGGCGCCUCUGGUCCACCGGUUAUCCGACAGGGUAGGCCGGGCAGCUACGCGCUAUAUGGAUAAGAGCUGAAAGCAUCUAAGCUCGAAGCCAUCCUUGAAAAGAGAUACAUUGGGACACGGAUAGAAGAUCCGUUCAAUGGAGUCGGUGUGUAAGCACGAAGCUUCGGCGACGUGUUCAGCAUGCGACCCCCAACUGUCCUUACCUUGUUGC